UUGCUCCCCGCUGACGAGCGGCGGACGGGUGAGUAAUGCAUAGGAAUCUGCCCAGUAGUGGGGGAUAGCCCGGGGAAACCCGGAUUAAUACCGCAUACGCCCUUUGGGGGAAAGCAGGGGAUCUUCGGACCUUGCGCUAUUGGAUGAGCCUAUGUCGGAUUAGCUAGUUGGUGGGGUAAGAGCCUACCAAGGCGACGAUCCGUAGCUGGUCUGAGAGGAUGAUCAGCCACAUCGGGACUGAGACACGGCCCGAACUCCUACGGGAGGCAGCAGUGGGGAAUAUUGGACAAUGGGGGCAACCCUGAUCCAGCCAUGCCGCGUGUGUGAAGAAGGCUUUCGGGUUGUAAAGCACUUUCAGUGAGGAGGAAAACCUUAUGGCUAAUACCCAUGAGGCUUGACGUUACUCACAGAAGAAGCACCGGCUAACUCCGUGCCAGCAGCCGCGGUAAUACGGAGGGUGCAAGCGUUAAUCGGAAUUACUGGGCGUAAAGCGCGCGUAGGUGGUUUGAUAAGCGAGAUGUGAAAGCCCCGGGCUUAACCUGGGAACGGCAUUUCGAACUGUCAGGCUAGAGUAUGGUAGAGGAGUGUGGAAUUUCCUGUGUAGCGGUGAAAUGCGUAGAUAUAGGAAGGAACACCAGUGGCGAAGGCGGCACUCUGGACCAAUACUGACACUGAGGUGCGAAAGCGUGG
Molecule: ribosomal RNA, 690 nt
Filed under: Marinobacter sp. Hal4-4
Lineage: Bacteria; Pseudomonadati; Pseudomonadota; Gammaproteobacteria; Pseudomonadales; Marinobacteraceae
Description: bacterial SSU rRNA
Rfam family: Bacterial small subunit ribosomal RNA
Source: RNAcentral